UGGUGGAGCGAUUUGUCUGGUUAAUUCCGUUAACGAACGAGACCUCGGCCUGCUAAAUAGCCAUGCGAACCUUUCCGCCCCAAAGAGGAUACGGUCGGGGCGGGUCCACGUCGGGAGGGGUCCCCUUCGCGGGGGUUCUCUUCCGGCGCCGUCUCGGUCGCCCUCUGGUGAGGUUCGUAGCGGCGCUUCUUAGAGGGACUAUGCAAUCCCAGUGCAUGGAAGUUCGAGGCAAUAACA
This 237-nucleotide ribosomal RNA is filed under the name uncultured eukaryote. RNAcentral describes it as "partial 18S ribosomal RNA". It matches the Rfam family "Eukaryotic small subunit ribosomal RNA", at positions 1299 to 1458 of the family's 1831-position model. The record is from RNAcentral.